Non-coding RNA from Arachis ipaensis, 223 nucleotides. NCBI's taxonomy places the organism in Eukaryota, Viridiplantae, Streptophyta, Magnoliopsida, Fabales, Fabaceae. The record is from RefSeq and is a predicted model, not a curated record.
UUUUUUCUCCGGGCAUGAGAACUUGCAGAUUUUAGAGAAGAUGAAGCAAUUGGUGUUAUUCAUCGAGCGAAAUUUGAAAGAUAAGGAUGUUAUUCGACUACCCUUUUUCUCCCAACCUGAUAGUCCACUUAUAGGAAAUGGUUCCUUUAAGUCUUCAACAUUAGUUCUAGGUAUGAAAGAAGGAUUUUAUCUAGGUCCACCACCAUUGGACAAAAUCCUCAAG